UGUAAGUGUAACUCCAAGGAGAUACUUUCUU
Molecule: non-coding RNA, 31 nt
Filed under: Rattus norvegicus (Norway rat)
Lineage: Eukaryota; Metazoa; Chordata; Mammalia; Rodentia; Muridae
Source: RNAcentral